CGCAGCCGCGGUAAUUCCAGCUCCAAUAGCGUAUAUUAAAGUUGUUGCAGUUAAAAAGCUCGUAGUUGAAUUUCGGGAUUGACGUGACGGUCGUGCCUUAAGGGGUAUGAACUGUCGCCGUUGAUUUCUCACCUUCUGGAGAAGCUCGAUGUCCUUAAUUGGAUGUCUUGUGGAACCAGGACCUUUACCUUGAAAAAAUUAGAGUGUUUAAAGCAGGCAUUUUGCUCGAAUACAUUAGCAUGGAAUAAUAGAAUAGGACGGCAUGGUUCUAUUUUGUUGGUUCCUAGGAUCACCGUAAUGAUUAAUAGGGAUAGUUGGGGGCAUUAGUAUUCAAUUGUCAGAGGUGAAAUUCUUGGAUUUAUUGAAGACUAACUACUGCGAAAGCAUUUGCCAAGGAUGUUUUCAUUAAUCAAGAACGAAAGUUAGGGGAUCGAAGACGAUCAGAUACCGUGUAGUCUUAACCAUAAACUAUGCCGACUAGGAACUCAGACGAUGUUAAUUUUUAAUGACUCGUUU
RNAcentral lists this ribosomal RNA (516 nucleotides) under uncultured Entrophospora. RNAcentral's name for it is "SSU rRNA". It matches the Rfam family "Eukaryotic small subunit ribosomal RNA", at positions 569 to 1081 of the family's 1831-position model. Lineage: Eukaryota; Fungi; Glomeromycota; Glomeromycetes; Entrophosporales; Entrophosporaceae. The record is from RNAcentral.